RNAcentral lists this ribosomal RNA (467 nucleotides) under uncultured bacterium. Its description in RNAcentral is "bacterial SSU rRNA". It matches the Rfam family "Bacterial small subunit ribosomal RNA", at positions 336 to 796 of the family's 1533-position model. The record is from RNAcentral.
UUCCUACGGGAGGCUGCAGUAGGGAAUUUUCGGCAAUGGGCGCAAGCCUGACCGAGCAACGCCGCGUGAGUGAUUAAGGCCUUCGGGUUGUAAAGCUCUGUUGUAAGGGAAGAACAUUCAGGAUAGGAAAUGAUCUUGAACUGACGGUACCUUACCAGAAAGCCACGGCUAACUACGUGCCAGCAGCCGCGGUAAUACGUAGGUGGCAAGCGUUAUCCGGAAUUAUUGGGCGUAAAGGGUGCGUAGGCGGUUUAUUAAGUCUAUGGUGAAAGUGCGGGGCUCAACCCCGUAUGGCCAUAGAAACUGGUAGACUUGAGUGCAGGAGAGGGCAAUGGAAUUCCAUGUGUAGCGGUAAAAUGCGUAGAUAUAUGGAGGAACACCAGUGGCGAAGGCGGUUGCCUGGCCUGUAACUGACGCUGAAGCACGAAAGCGUGGGGAGCAAAUAGGAUUAGAUACCCCAGUAGUCG